UACGGAGGGUGCAAGCGUUAUCCGGAUUUACUGGGUUUAAAGGGUGCGCAGGCGGAUAUGUAAGUCAGUGGUGAAAUCUCUAGGCUUAUCCUGGAAAUUGCCGUUGAUACUAUAUAUCUUGAAUGCUGUGGAGGUAAGCGGAAUAUGUCAUGUAGCGGUGAAAUGCUUAGAUAUGACAUAGAACACCUAUUGCGAAGGCAGCUUACUACGCAGAUAUUGACGCUCAUGCACGAAAGCGUGGGGAUCAAACAGG
Molecule: ribosomal RNA, 253 nt
Filed under: uncultured bacterium
Lineage: Bacteria
Description: partial 16S ribosomal RNA
Rfam family: Bacterial small subunit ribosomal RNA
Source: RNAcentral